UAAACCAAUGGAGAAGGAUAAAACGCAAAUGCCGAAGAAGAUCACGAGAGGCAGCAGCACUGUGGUGCCUGGAGGCGAGGCAGAUUGUGCUGAAAGAAGAGAUCACACAGGUACGUAGGGGCCCUCCCACAAGAGGAAGACAGGGGAAAAAGGAAAAAGAAGAAAACUCCACACUGUUGGAAAUUUCUUUGCUUUCCAAACAUUUUAGCUAUCUCUUGAAAUAAUGGAAAUUAAACCUCUCCUGACUCAGAGGAAUGAAACGCAAGCCAAUCACAAAAUCAUUUCCUUUUAGAAUUGGAAGUCAUCUCAAAGAGGCUGUGUAGAAAGAACUAAUUCAAAGCAGUAAGGGGCAGGGUGUGAAUUCCAGUCCAUUCGUUGGCUGGCACUGUGACUCCAAGCAAGUCAUUUAACCUGUAAGCCUCAGUUUGCUCAUCAGUAAAGUAAGACUCUUACCCACCUGUCAGAA
Panthera uncia (snow leopard) is the source of this 466-nucleotide long non-coding RNA. RefSeq lists it as uncharacterized. The transcript has 2 exons. NCBI's taxonomy places the organism in Eukaryota, Metazoa, Chordata, Mammalia, Carnivora, Felidae. The record is from RefSeq and is a predicted model, not a curated record.